CACCCCGCCGCCCUCGCCCCAUCACCUCCACAGCCCGCCCCGCCCGCACGCCGGCCGCUACCACCGCGUCGCCCUCGGCUCACCCCGUCGCCUUGGCCACCGUCUGCGCGUGGCCCUCCCGGAUGUCCAGCUCCACCUCGUCGCCGACCCGUAGAUCUUGCGCUACCGCUCGAACCCCGUCGAGUUGAAGUAGGCGCGGGCGGCCUCCUUGUCGCCGCCGCCCGCGGCCUCGGCCUGCGCGCGCCGCCUGUGCUCGGGUCGGAGAGCGACACCGCCGCAGCCAGCCGCGGCCGCCGGUCAGCCUCGGCCAUCCCCGGAGCUCGGUCAGCCGCCGACACGAGCAGCAGCAUGGAGCAGAUUUUGAAGGGAAGAUCCCGCCCUUCGUGCUCUCCUUGAUCCAACGAAGGCAGCGUUCAGGCGCUGCUGGUUCCUCUUCGCCGUGUUCAGCCAAAUGCAGUUUGAGCGGCCGUGGAGUACCGGGAGUUGGUGAAUUCUGCUUAUAUUCUGGUUGCUCUUUGGACUAGAUGACACCUGCAAGAGCUAAAUGGUGGCAGUCGCUGCUGUUCAGAUGAGUCCAGUUGUGCUAGCAGUAGUAAGCAUUGCAUUUUUUAGCUUGCAGUUCCUACGAGCUCAUGGAAGUGAACUGCUUCUGAGCUGUGGCUCAAACGGCACUGUUGAUGCUGAUGGUCGGAGAUGGAUCGGGGACAUGGGUCCUGGGGGCAAUUUUACCUUGAGUAGCUCUUAACCUACUCAACGGUUAAGAGACGGCGCCGGCACGCCAGCCACCUGCAAUGGUUGAUUUGAGUAUCAGGUUCACUGUAUUAUGUAGGUUCACUGCAUCAGAGGAGCAUUUGAGUAUCAGGUUCACUGCAAGAAUACAUGUAUUUCAGGUUCACUGCAAGAAUACAUGUAUUUCAGGUUCACUGCAAGAAUACAUGUAUUUCAGGUUCACUGCAAGAAUACUGUAUCAGUGGAAAUAUAUAAUACUCAAUCAAAAUAAUAUUUCAGACAAUCAAGUGUAUUUCUGGGUCAGAUAGUCUUGCACCAAGAUAGUAAGUGGCCUGUGGUAUGUCUGAAUGAAUCAACAUUCUUGCCCUGCAAGAUAUCUGUAUUAUUCAGGUAACUCCAUACUGAAAUUUGUAUGACUGAAAUUUGUAUUCAGAUAACUCCAUACUAAAAUAUUCAGAAUC
Molecule: long non-coding RNA, 1190 nt
Organism: Panicum virgatum (switchgrass)
Lineage: Eukaryota; Viridiplantae; Streptophyta; Magnoliopsida; Poales; Poaceae
Exons: 3
Source: RefSeq, a predicted model, not a curated record